AGCUUUGCGCAGUGGCACUAUCGUAGCCAAUGAGGUUUAUCCAAGGCAUGAUUAUUGCUAAUUGAAACCUUUUCCCAAUACCCCACCGUGACAACUUGCAAUAUAGUCAGCAUUGGCAAUUUUUGACAGUCUCUAUGGAGA
Molecule: small nuclear RNA, 141 nt
Filed under: Cebus imitator (Panamanian white-faced capuchin)
Lineage: Eukaryota; Metazoa; Chordata; Mammalia; Primates; Cebidae
Description: U4 spliceosomal RNA (ENSCCAG00000004033.1)
Rfam family: U4 spliceosomal RNA
About the family: U4 small nuclear RNA (U4 snRNA) is a component of the major U2-dependent spliceosome. The structure of U4 snRNA from yeast and human has been reported.
Source: Rfam by way of RNAcentral